RNAcentral lists this ribosomal RNA (459 nucleotides) under uncultured bacterium. RNAcentral's name for it is "partial 16S ribosomal RNA". It matches the Rfam family "Bacterial small subunit ribosomal RNA", at positions 338 to 795 of the family's 1533-position model. The record is from RNAcentral.
CCUACGGGAGGCAGCAGUGAGGAAUAUUGGUCAAUGGGCGCGAGCCUGAACCAGCCAAGUCGCGUGAGGGAAGACGGUCCUAUGGAUUGUAAACCUCUUUUGUCGGGGAGCAAAAGACGCCACGCGUGGCGUUCCGAGAGUACCCGACGAACAAGCAUCGGCUAACUCCGUGCCAGCAGCCGCGGUAAUACGGAGGAUGCGAGCGUUAUCCGGAUUUAUUGGGUUUAAAGGGAGCGCAGGCGGAAGAGCAAGUCAGCGGUAAAAUUGAGAGGCUCAACCUCGUCGAGCCGUUGAAACUGGUUGUCUUGAGUGAGUGAGAGGUAUGCGGAAUGCGUGGUGUAGCGGUGAAAUGCAUAGAGAUCACGCAGAACUCCGAUUGCGAAGGCAGCAUACCGGCGCUCAACUGACGCUCAUGCACGAAAGUGUGGGUAUCGAACAGGAUUAGAUACCCUAGUAGUC